Molecule: long non-coding RNA, 1272 nt
Organism: Heterocephalus glaber (naked mole-rat)
Lineage: Eukaryota; Metazoa; Chordata; Mammalia; Rodentia; Bathyergidae
Source: Ensembl
ACCACUUACAGGUGCUGCCUGGCACUCUACCAAAAAUGAGGAAAAGCCUGGCUCUGCCCCAUCAGCCCUGCCCGCUCAGCGAUACCAUGGCCCUUGGGAAAUGGCCCUCUGUGUCCCCUCUUCGCAUGCCUCCCGUGCCUGCCACCAUAGAGUAGAACACAGCCCCAGAAUGCUUCCAGAUGCUUCCACAGGCCGUGCCGACCCAGGCCGGUCCACUCCUGGGGUGCCCGUGUCCUGCAGGUGGACGCCCCACACACCCAGCAAUCCAGUUGUCAGCCCGUGUUUUUCAGACUCUAAAGCCAUGGGGCGUCCAGACCCUUCUGUCAUAGAAGCAAUAACUGAAACUGUGCUGCAGAGCCCAGUCUGGCCCUUGCAGACUGGCCUUUCAGAGACGAGCCGUGCAUAGGAGUUGGCCGUGAGGGACUACACUGCCCCAGUAGACCUGGACCUGGCCUCUCCAUCCCUAGAGUCGAGCUCAGCGUCCCAGGCAGCACCCCCCGCUCCACCCCGGGCUCUGGGCAAAAGAAGCACAAGUCUCAGGGGACCCUCCCCACUGUGGGGAUCCCAAGGACGCCCACAGCACCUGCUGCACACCCCGGAGUGUGGACACACACACCACCGGGAGCACACGCCCACUGUGCUGCCUUGACCCCUGCCGACACUGCACACACCAAGCCAUUGCACUCCAGAAUUUCAUGCUGUGAAAUUCCCACCUUGUGGGCCUUUGAGUUUGGAGUCCUGCAGCGUGCAGAAAGGGAUAGGCCUGGCUGCAGAGCAGCCCUGAAAGCCAGGACAGGUCGCGUGGACCCUUUAGAUGGUGUAGCUCGAGCACUUAGUGGGUGCUGUGUGCUUUCAGCCCAGACAUCUCCACUGUCCUCCCACCUGCACUCUCAUAACCUAAAAAGUCAGCGCCACGACCACGUGGCCAUCUCCUAGCGUGACUCCAUCCUGAUUUACGGCAAGCUGAAACCAACUCCUGAGGAAAGUCACAUGAGCGCUCGUGUCCGCCUGUGUCUGGCUGGAGAGGGAAGAGUCCCCCCGUAGGACAAGAGCGGCGUGGGCCGAGGGGUCAGCUUCUCCCACAAGGUGAACUUAGUGAGGAUGCUUCUGUAGGCGGGAGGACACAGCAGUGCUACUCUGCAUCACAGCGCCGCAAUCUCACUGGGUAACUUCUCGUGAUAGAUUUGUAAUCAAUACGGGUCUAUUUUUAUGUCAACUGGACACUGAAGAGCACCUUCCAAUCUUUUUCAAGAUUGUUAAAUUGAGACAAGU